Molecule: ribosomal RNA, 239 nt
Filed under: uncultured Lactobacillus sp.
Lineage: Bacteria; Bacillati; Bacillota; Bacilli; Lactobacillales; Lactobacillaceae
Description: partial 16S ribosomal RNA
Rfam family: Bacterial small subunit ribosomal RNA
Source: RNAcentral
UAACCUGCCCAAGAGAUCGGGAUAACACCUGGAAACAGAUGCUAAUACCGGAUAACAACAGAUGAUGCCUAUCAACUGUUUAAAAGAUGGUUCUGCUAUCACUAUUGGAUGGACCUGCGGUGCAUUAGCUAGUUGGUAGGGUAACGGCCUACCAAGGCGAUGAUGCAUAGCCGAGUUGAGAGACUGAUCGGCCACAUUGGGACUGAGACACGGCCCAAACUCCUACGGGAGGCAGCAGC